This 497-nucleotide ribosomal RNA is filed under the name uncultured bacterium. RNAcentral describes it as "partial 16S ribosomal RNA". It matches the Rfam family "Bacterial small subunit ribosomal RNA", at positions 28 to 507 of the family's 1533-position model. The record is from RNAcentral.
GAUGAACGCUGGCGGCGUGCCUAAUACAUGCCAGUCGAGCGAACAGACGAGGAGCUUGCUCCUCUGACGUUAGCGGCGGACGGGUGAGUAACACGUGGAUAACCUACCUAUAAGACUGGGAUAACUUCGGGAAACCGGAGCUAAUACCGGAUAAUAUAUUGAACCGCAUGGUUCAAUAGUGAAAGACGGUUUUGCUGUCACUUAUAGAUGGAUCCGCGCCGCAUUAGCUAGUUGGUAAGGUAACGGCUUACCAAGGCAACGAUGCGUAGCCGACCUGAGAGGGUGAUCGGCCACACUGGAACUGAGACACGGUCCAGACUCCUACGGGAGGCAGCAGUAGGGAAUCUUCCGCAAUGGGCGAAAGCCUGACGGAGCAACGCCGCGUGAGUGAUGAAGGUCUUCGGAUCGUAAAACUCUGUUAUUAGGGAAGAACAAAUGUGUAAGUAACUAUGCACGUCUUGACGGUACCUAAUCAGAAAGCCACGGCUAACUACUUG